CACGCUCACCCUGGACUACUACGGACUGCGUCAUAACUGCUGCUCGCGCGGGUCUCGCGCUUCAGGCAGGUCUCGCCUGAAAGAUGCUCUCCUCCCACCUUCCUCUCCUCAUUCUCCGUUUGGAAGCGGCUUCAGAAAACUUCAUGUACAAAGUUAAAGAUGUGAAAGCCUUUAAAUCUUCUACAUUCAUUUGAGGAUUGACUUCAACUGCUGAGUGACCUUCAAAUGUCAUUGAGACUUGAACCUGUAAGUUGAAAUAUAUGCUACAUUCCAGCUUGGAACAUUCUGUGGACUGAUUAUGUAAAUCUCAUAAACCACUUUUUUCUAAGAUCUGGCACCACUGAGCCUGACUAAUGGUCAAUAUCUAUUUAGGAGAGGAAGAGUAUUUGAACUAGGAAAUAAAUCAAGAACAUAAUUGGGAGGCUUAUUCUUCUUUCAGGACCUAAAAAAAAAAAGAGGCUUGAUUCACAUGGAAAAAUGCUUAUUUUUUAAAAUAAGAAAAACAAUAUACCUAUUUGGAAUUAAUAUGCACCCAAAUGAAUUUUGAUUUAUAAUUAAACAUAUUCGUAUAGCUUUA
Molecule: long non-coding RNA, 577 nt
Organism: Crotalus tigris (Tiger rattlesnake)
Lineage: Eukaryota; Metazoa; Chordata; Lepidosauria; Squamata; Viperidae
Exons: 3
Source: RefSeq, a predicted model, not a curated record